RNA transcript from Mercurialis annua (annual mercury), 1974 nucleotides. It is a transcript of the gene named DNA repair protein recA homolog 1, chloroplastic, with no coding region annotated. NCBI's taxonomy places the organism in Eukaryota, Viridiplantae, Streptophyta, Magnoliopsida, Malpighiales, Euphorbiaceae. The record is from RefSeq and is a predicted model, not a curated record. The transcript has 14 exons.
AUAAGUUUUGGUUGGAAAGAAAACCCGCGAUUUUCCCCAUCGGCUGCAUGUCUCCAAUUUAACACUCUUCUUCUUCUUCUUCUUCUUCUUCUUCCAAAAUGGAUUCUUCUCUUCUGUUCCCUUUAAAGCCGAAAUGCAAGGCUUACCCAUUUCUCCAAUUACCUUCUCCUUUCCAUUACAACUCUUCUUUUGAACUUCCUUUCAAUUUCAAAGUCUCAAAAGUUACCGCUUCUAAACAAAAAUCUCACAAAAUUCGCUGUCAAUUUGAACCCAAACUCAAUAAUGGUUCCGUCUCUCCGGACUUCGACGCCCGCUUUCUCGACCGGCAAAAAGCACUGGAAGCAGCAAUGAAUGACAUAAAUAAUUCAUUUGGAAAUGGAAGUGUUACCAGAUUGGGCAGUGCUGGCGGCGCGCUAGUUGAGACUUUCCCUAGUGGAUGUUUGACUCUAGAUUUUGCUUUAGGUGGUGGCCUUCCAAGAGGAAGAAUUGUCGAGAUAUAUGGACCAGAAAGCAGUGGGAAGACCACUUUGGCCCUCCAUGCCAUUGCAGAAAUUCAGAAGCUUGGUGGGAACGCAAUGCUUGUUGAUGCAGAGCAUGCUUUCGAUCCAGCAUAUUCAAAAGCAUUGGGGGUAGAUGUAGAAAACUUGAUCGUCUGCCAACCUGAUAAUGGCGAGAUGGCACUUGAAAUUGCAGAUCGUAUGUGCAGAUCUGGUGCUGUAGAUCUGAUAUGUGUUGAUUCUGUAUCUGCUCUCACUCCACGAGCCGAGAUUGAGGGAGAGAUAGGGAUGCAGCAAAUGGGUUUGCAAGCACGCCUUAUGAGCCAAGCACUUCGUAAAAUGUCAGGAAAUGCUUCAAAGGCUGGUUGUACUCUCAUUUUCCUUAAUCAAAUAAGAUACAAGAUUGGUGUAUAUUAUGGCAAUCCAGAAGUAACAAGUGGAGGAAUUGCUUUGAAAUUCUUUGCCUCAGUUCGUCUAGAAAUACGGUCUACGGGGAAGAUAAAGUCUGUUAAAGGAGAUGAAGAUAUAGGGGUUCGAGUUCGUGUGAGAGUGCAGAAGAGUAAGGUAUCACGGCCGUACAAGCAAGCUGAGUUCGAAAUUAUAUUUGGAGAGGGAGUGGGCCAACUGGGUUGCGUUUUGGAUUGCGCUGAAAUGAUGGAUGUUGUGAUAAAGAAGGGUUCUUGGUAUAGUUAUGGAGACCACAGAUUGGGACAAGGAAGAGACAAAGCAUUACAGUACUUGAGAGACAAUCCUCACCUUUAUGAAGAAAUAGAGAAGAAAGUUCGGUCCAUGAUGGCAGACGGAACUGUAAAUGCAUCCUCUGUUGCCUUGAGCAACUCAUCAUUACCUAUACAAGAUGAAAAUGUUUACGACGAGAUCUGAUUCAUAGUUGAGAGUUCUGUUGUUGUUCAAGUCAUAAGUAGAUACCAGCAGUUUACGAUAUCCUCCUCGGCAGUCUUGUAGAGACUUGGCUGUUAUUUUGAUUGACUUAAAUAUUAAUUUGUCCUCUAAACUUCCACGUAUUGGUCAAUUAGAACAAAGAUUACUUUGUUAUCAAAUUCGCCAGAAACUAGUUAAUUAUUAUCAAUUUACAAUCCUAAACCACGCUUGUUCUGCGCAUGAAUUAGAUUUCUUACCAAAUUGAUAAUAAUAGAUAAGUUUCUGGCCAAAUUUUAUCAACAAAAAUAUUGUUCUAAUUUACCAGAACUUGCAAGUUGAGUGGAAAAUUGAUAUAUAAGUCUAUUUUGAUUGUACACAAUGAGGUAUCACUGAUAGGAAUGGCAUGUAUUUUAAAGGGGUGAAAGUAGAAGGGAAAAAUGUUUUUGCGUCGGGAGAAUUCUUGUUUUGGCGCUUUGUUUUCGGCAGAAGUAGAAAGUGAAACUGAGAAGGUUGAUCAGUUGAUUCUCAGCCAAAGAUUAGAGAUUCGUAGAUUGUAAUGUUAUGAUUUAAUAUAAAGUGUUUACGGAAAUUUAAAGUA